This 323-nucleotide ribosomal RNA is filed under the name uncultured eukaryote. RNAcentral describes it as "partial 18S ribosomal RNA". It matches the Rfam family "Eukaryotic small subunit ribosomal RNA", at positions 1470 to 1796 of the family's 1831-position model. The record is from RNAcentral.
CCCUUAGAUGUCCUGGGCUGCACGCGCGCUACACUGAUGUGUCCAGUAAGCACCUAACCUCUUCCGAAAGGAACGGGUAACCUUUGCAAAGCACAUCGUGAUGGGGAUAGAUUAUUCAAUUAUUAGUCUUGAACGAGGAAUUCCUAGUAAGCACAAGUCAUCAGCUUGUGUUGAUUACGUCCCUGCCCUUUGUACACACCGCCCGUCGCUCCUACCGAUUGAAUGUUCCGGUGAGCUCUUCGGACUGCGCGGUCUGCAGUUUCUGCGUUCCGUGCGGAAAGUUGCGCAAACCUUAACAUUUAGAGGAAGGAGAAGUCGUAACA